UGGAAUCCUGUGUGGAUGUUGCAAUCUUCGGCUAUAUACGAGAACUUAUUGGUGGAGGUAAGAAUGGAAAAAAGAAAGAAUGAAAAAAGAAAAGAAUGAAAAAUAUAGAGAAAGAUGAAAAAAGAGAUCGAGCAUACAUUGCAUACAUAACAUAGUCCAUACGUCACACACAACUUCACAAAACAUCCCUUUGUACAGAUGACCCAUUUUCCCC
Molecule: long non-coding RNA, 214 nt
Filed under: Lathyrus oleraceus (garden pea)
Lineage: Eukaryota; Viridiplantae; Streptophyta; Magnoliopsida; Fabales; Fabaceae
Description: Pisum sativum (pea) long non-coding RNA (PSAT_LNC015968)
Source: RNAcentral